AAGGAGCAUCUGGCACCCUCGGGUGUCCAGGCGCCGGAUCUGAGCGAACGUCUCAGCCGGUUAGCUCAUGGGUGGAACAUUGACAUUGGUGCGGAGCCGAACGGCUCGAACUCAGUACAUCUCUUGCAGAUAGGAAAGGUUCGGACCCGGAAGCCCCGCACAUGCACGCUGUUGGGUCCUGAGGGACCGGACCUCAUCCAGUCGGAUGAGAACCGAAUCCUCUGGACCUUUUCUAGUCGGCCAUAACUCGGCCGGCGGAGAAGGUACCGCCCGUACUUUGAGAACUACACAGUGGACGCGAGCAUCUUAGAUUCGAACCUUCGGGUUCGGAUCACAAAGAUGAUCACAGUACUUAUGUACUGAUAGAUCAUUGGUCAAUCUGCUCAUCUUCGGAUGAGUCGAUCGAUUCUAAAACUCAUGUGAUUUCAAAUUUCUAAGAGCAAACGGUGGAUGCCUUGGCAUCUGGAGCCGAAGAAGGACGUAGUAAUCUGCGAUAAGCCUCGGGGAGCUGAUAAACGAGCUUUGAUCCGAGGAUCUCCGAAUGGGGAAACCCCGCUGGGCCCGCAAGGUGACCCAGUGACUCCC
Molecule: unclassified non-coding RNA, 585 nt
Filed under: Herbiconiux ginsengi
Lineage: Bacteria; Bacillati; Actinomycetota; Actinomycetes; Micrococcales; Microbacteriaceae
Description: partial contains 16S-23S ribosomal RNA intergenic spacer and 23S ribosomal RNA
Rfam family: Bacterial large subunit ribosomal RNA (bases 424-585)
Source: RNAcentral